RNAcentral lists this ribosomal RNA (832 nucleotides) under uncultured bacterium. RNAcentral's name for it is "bacterial SSU rRNA". It matches the Rfam family "Bacterial small subunit ribosomal RNA", at positions 8 to 796 of the family's 1533-position model. The record is from RNAcentral.
AGAGUUUGAUCCUGGCUCAGAGUGAACGCUGGCGGCGUGGAUUAGGCAUGCAAGUCGAGCGAUCCAGCACUAAUUUUUUGUUGGUAGUAAUACUGAUGGAAAAUUAGUGCUGGAUAGCGGCAGACUGGUGAGUAACGCGUGAGUAAUUUACCUCUAAGCCGUGGAUAGCCUUGCGAAAGCAAGGGUAAAACACGAUGUGUUUACGAAGGCAAAAGCCUUUGUAUGUAAAAGUGGCUCGUAAGAGCUAUUGCUUAGAGAUGAGCUCGCGCACUAUCAGCUAGUUGGUAGGGUAAUGGCCUACCAAGGCUUUUGACGGUUAGCUGGCCUGAGAGGGUGGUCAGCCACACGGGGACUGAGACACUGCCCCGACUCCUACGGGAGGCUGCAGUCGAGGAUCUUUAGCAAUGGGGGAAACCCUGACUAUGCGACGCCGCGUGAGGGAUGAAGUAUUUCGGUACGUAAACCUCUUUCGAUGGGGAAGAAACCUUUAGUUAACUGCUAAAGCUGACGGUACCCAGAGAAGAAGCCACGGCUAACUCCGUGCCAGCAGCCGCGGUAAUACGGGGGUGGCGAGCGUUACUCGGAUUUAUUGGGUGUAAAGGGCAGGUAGGCGUUCCACCAAGUUAGGAGUGAAAUCCUUUGGCUCAACCAAAGAACUGCUUUUAAAACUGGUGGAAUUGAGGCUAGAAGAGGAGAGUGGAAUUCCCGGUGUAAGGGUGAAAUCUGUAGAUAUCGGGAGGAACGCCAGUGGCGAAAGCGGCUCUCUGGUCUAGCCCUGACGCUGAACUGCGAAAGCUAGGGGAGCAAACAGGAUUAGAUACCCUGGUAGUCC